Molecule: long non-coding RNA, 538 nt
Organism: Zophobas morio
Lineage: Eukaryota; Metazoa; Arthropoda; Insecta; Coleoptera; Tenebrionidae
Exons: 6
Source: RefSeq, a predicted model, not a curated record
ACAGUUCGCUGAUUUUGUUCAAGCACUGUAACUUCAAUGGCUUUUUUUAUUAGACGUUCUCGAAUUUUUUUAGCAAAAGGCUUUACCAACCUCACAAAAAGAUACGAAACCACUGCCUUUCCUGAUAAUAACGAGGAGUUUAUUCAGCAGUGGGUUGAAUUUUUUGAAGAUCCUAAACUUAGAAAAGCCGGAAUUAUCCGCGGUUUAGAACAUGUAUUUGGUUACGAUAUUGUUCCUGGAAAACGAAUUAUAGAAGCUGCUUUUCGCUGUUGUCGCCGUUUAAACUUUUAUUCUCCAACUAUUAGAAUUUUUGAGGGUUUAGCUGAUAAAGUCGAAAAGCACGAUGAUUAUAUAGAAAUUGUUAAAGAAUUAGAGCCAGUUAUCAACGAACUUGGGCUUAAAACUCCAGAAUCACUGGGUUUUAAUAAAUUGACUCUCAUUCCCAAAUUUACUGAGGAAGGAAAAAAGAUUCCUUUUACCGAUAAAUGCUACUUGAGAUUUCCAGAUAAGGGAUAUUAAUAAAACAAAAUUGUUUUUA